AUCUCAUUACUUUUAAAAGCUGAUUGGGUUUCAGCUAGUUUCCUGUCACUGACAUUAUCAAAAUGUCCAUAGUGCGGCUCGGGGCACCAGCCCAGCAUGGCAGCCUCAGGUGAUUUAAGCAGAGCCCACCAGCCACUGCUGCUGUGUGUUCCUGGUUCUCAAGAGAGUCAUGUCGCGUUUGCGCUGUCGGCUCUAAACCCAAAAGUAUGGUUUGCUUUCCAUUUUAAAAAGAAUCUCAUCACUGUAGUUGAAUCCCGUCCGUUGCCGGGGCUUCUGUCUGAAGACCACAUGACAGCAGAAAUUCAGUUGCUGCUGUCGAGGGAAGGUGCCUCUUCAUCCGCCCGUGAGUUGAGUGAGUUGACCCUUGUGUCUUUGCUGCUCCCAGCGAAAACACUCGAAGUGGUCAGCAGCCGACCAUGCAGCCUCUGAGGGGUCGGUAACUGGAAGCUAAUGCAGAUCUGUUGACGAAUUCGAGAGGUGUGCUUGUUAAAAGGUUUUGGAUCCCUGUCUCUUGCCUUGAGUGCCCUGAAGUCGUCACUUAGGAUAGCUACCCACUUUGUUCUUGGUAGUUUUCAUGACUUUCCCUUCCUGGCUCUUUCUUUUGUUUGUUCUGUUUUGAUUUUUUUUUUUUAAACUUCCCUUCCAAGUAAAAGCUGCCCUGCAUAUUUUAUUUAAAAGAAAAGGAGAAAGGGGCAAGUCAGUACUCUAAAAAUGUUUGGGUUUUGUUUGUUUUGUUUGUUUGUUUGUUUGUUUGUUUUUGGCAAUUUAUGCACCAAGAGUCUUAAAUCAAGGAGUUCCUGAUCCUCUGCCAUUUAUCGCUUUUUAUGUCUGCACACACAAACACACAGUGGUGAAAAAUGAUGUGGGGGUUCGUGGGAAGGAUUUUAUUCUAAUAGAGGUGACCAGAGUUUCUUUACAUUCCUAUGUGUCUGUCAUUUGUGACUCAGGCAACAACCCGGCCAAGGAACAGUUCUGGAUAUCUCUCUCUGGUUAUGCUUAACGGUAAAAGCGCUUUGGCUUUGGUUCUCAGCUCUUCAGGCAUCCGACUGUCAGAAACUGGCAGCAGCAUUUCAUUUCUGCACUGUCCAGUGUGAUAGCCGUUAGACUCGUGUGGCUACAGAGCCUUUGAAAUAGAACUAGAGCAACCGAGAAAGUGAUCUAUGGUUUGGGGCCUGCUUAAAUCCAAGUCUUCACAUGUGAUUACUUUACUGGACAGCAAAUUCUGGUCUGUAGAGCUGUGACAUAGAUUUGUAUUGUCUCUGCCUCACCCGUUUUUACUGCCUACUAGUGCCAAACAGGGUUAGGUCUUGUGGUAGAAACAGGAGGAGAAGGAGUUCAGGGCCAGUCCCAGCUAUAUAGCAAGUGUGAGAUACAAGGCCUGGGCUACUUAAAAAAAUAAAAAAAUAAAAGUGAUGGCAGAGUACUUGCUCAGAAAGCAUGAAGUCCCGAGUUCAGGUCCCAGCAUAACAUAAACUGGGUGUGGUGGCCUAGGACUAUAAUCCACAGAAUCUGUGGUUCAAGGUCAUUUUUGUCUGCAUAGGGAGGGUGAAGCAAGCUGGGGGCUGAAAGAGUCCCUAUCUCCAAAAGAACAAAACCAACUUUAAAAAGCUGCGUCAGGGAACCUACAAAUCUCUUCAGUGCAUGGACAGGCAGUUCCUCCCUCCCUCCAGGUAUUCCUUACAGUUGCAGCUUUUAGUAGGGCUUCUCUUUUCAAAACAGAACCUGACGAUUCAGGUUGUCUUUUAUGUGUGAAUAUUAAGAUAAGCAAUCAAAUUUGGUUUUCUUCCCCUUCCUCAGCCUACUCAGCCAACCGUGUCUGAACCUGGUGCACAGUGCUGGUUUGCAUACCUAAUACCUUUAUUUAUUUGUUUGUUUGUUUGUUUUUCUGUGAUUCUCAGUGGUAAAGAACCUUGCUAUCUGGAUUCAUUAAGCUGAGUGCUGAGGAUUACCCUGGGUUAGUGAUGAAUAUACAUAUUGUCAAGUGACCAUCACCAGACAUGUGACUGUCAUCUAAACUCCUAGACAGCGUGGCCUCUGAGUUUCUUGGUGGACAGGACAGGUUAGCUGGUAGCCAAGAUCGGUUCUUAAAUCGGCCUGUCUGUGCAGUUGGCUUUGCAGCGCACAUGCUUUGCAUGCCUUGCUGCUGCCAACACGUAGCAUUUAAAUAACAUUGGAGUAAGCAAGGCUCCUCCUGCUGCUUGUCUGCCUUCAAAAUGGUGAGUUUCUGCAUAGAGCUGACUCAGGCCUGCCCGAGCGAGGUUGGAGGCACUUCUUUUAGCCCAGGCUGGCCACAGACUCACUGUUGAGCGGAACAUGACUGAAUUCCUGAACUCCUCUUGAUCCUCCUGUUACUACCUUCCAUGUGCUGGGACCACAGGUGUGAUCCCCCUGUUACUACCUUCCAUGUGCUGGGAUCACAGGUGUAACCCUCCUGUUACUAGCUUCCAAGUGCCAGGAUCACAGAUUCUGCGCUCUAGCUACACUUCGCUGCCCAUCACCCUCUGGGUCCUUCUCAUGGUCUUCCCUCUGCCCUCUUCCCCUUUCUUCUUUGUCUGGAUAAUCUCACGGUUUGGAAUCAGAUCCGGUGAAUUCCCCUCCAGACCUUCCUUACUCACUGGGCUCCUCUAAAGAUCACCUCAUCACUGCCAUCUUCCCCACCCUGGUGCAGAAGACCAACCCUUCCUUGUGCUCCCUAGCUUCCCGAGUCCUGAGCUUCUCUCCUGAUGCUCAUCUCAGAGUGAAUACACCCGCACACCCCACCUGGCCCUUCUCAGGCUGGAAGCCUAAGGGCCUGAGUGCCCCCUCUUUAUUCUGUGUCUGGGCAGGGUGCUGAAGAAGGUAACUUUAGCUUCAAAAAUAGCUCCUAAAGGUCUGACAAAUUCUAAGAAAGGUUGGGUGCAUUAGAACUGCCCUUCCUAGAUGACUCUUGAAAGGGUGCCUGCUUUUAAUCACAUUACUCACUGCAUUUAUAUAAUAAUAUCCCAGGAUUUUGCUCCACUUUGCUGUUUUCUGAUUCUGAUAUUUUUCUCUGGUAUAAAAGAUGACUAUAUAUGAAUAUAUAUAUGUAUAUUUGCCGAGUGUGACUGCUUUGCUUAUAUCAAGGUUAAUCCUUUCUGUCCCUUUGUUCAGAUUAAAUUACGGCAAAAUAAAAUUUCCCCUUGAAAUCAUGACUUGGUUCUGAAACACCUCUUUCCUGCCACCCCCAUUGUUAAGCUGUGUUGACAAAAAACUUUGCCAUAUUCACUGUCGAAGGAGAGGCCCUGCCGAGCAAGGUCUGCAGAAGGAAUGGAUCUGCACUUUACUGUGUGUUCUGUUGGACAGGUGACAAUUAAGCACGUGCAGUGUGCACCUGCUAAGUCUUGAGUCUUUGUUCACGGAAGAGUCGUGGCUCAAGGCAUGUGUGCACCACUCUGCUAUCCUUCUCACGAAUCCUAUUUUUCUCAUACUUCUCUCUUCCUUUGUUCUGUAGGACAUGACCAUUGUCUUUUACCAGAGCCCUUUCUUAGGCAUGUCAGAACAAGGCACACAGUUUUAGUAGGAAAAUGUAACAGUCAAUGAGUCAGAAGUGAAGUGUAUUCAGGAAGAACACUAACUUCAAAAUUCCCAAUUAUAAGGAAGAACUGUUGAUGUCAGGUUGAUUGGUAUAACUUUCAUCUACUUAAGAGACCCUAACUAUAAUCUUUAUUCAAAAUAUUGGUAUAAACAUAAAAAGUAUUGGAGCAAGGGUGAGGAUAUUUGAUCUACAGCUUUCUCUUUGUGGAGUCUCAAAACAUUUGUAAAACAAAUGAGUUGCACUGUUUCCUAGGCAUUCUGUGUUAGGGAAGAGGUCACUGAGUGUUGCUGUAUACAAGAGGACGUGCUCAGCCUGUUUAUAAUCAGUGUAUUUUACAGUCAGAUACUACAUAAAAUGAAAUCUCCUGCAAUAGAAAACUAACAGGCUUAAGUUAAAUAGUUGAUGUGUUUACAAGAUGACUACUCAAAUAGUAGGACCCAAGCACAAUUAAAUACUGGCUUAGAAACGUCUGACUUGUAACUCUUAGGCAUUACGUAUCGGAAGAGUAUGUUCCGCUUGAGCUGACUCUCUAAUGUCUACUAAUAUCAGUGCAUCACGGGUAACUUUAGUUUGAUGUUUCUGAGUAGUAUUCCAGGUAAAUUGCCACCACCUUCAUAUUUCAUUUUUUGUUUUUUUUUUAUUUGAUUUUAUGGCUUUUGUUUGUUCACUAAUUUGUUUAUUUGGCAAGAAUUUACAUAGACCAUGCUAUACUCAAAUUU
Long non-coding RNA from Meriones unguiculatus (Mongolian gerbil), 4272 nucleotides. RefSeq lists it as uncharacterized. The transcript is spliced from 3 exons. NCBI's taxonomy places the organism in Eukaryota, Metazoa, Chordata, Mammalia, Rodentia, Muridae. The record is from RefSeq and is a predicted model, not a curated record.